GAUAAACGCUGGCGGCGUGCCUAAUACAUGCAAGUCGAGCGAACAGACGAGGAGCUUGCUCCUCUGAUGUUAGCGGCGGACGGGUGAGUAACACGUGGAUAACCUACCUAUAAGACUGGGAUAACUUCGGGAAACCGGAGCUAAUACCGGAUAACAUGUUGAACCGCAUGGUUCAACAGUGAAAGACGGUCUUGCUGUCACUUAUAGAUGGAUCCGCGCCGCAUUAGCUAGUUGGUAAGGUAACGGCUUACCAAGGCAACGAUGCGUAGCCGACCUGAGAGGGUGAUCGGCCACACUGGAACUGAGACACGGUCCAGAGUACUACGGGAGGCAGCAGUAGGGAAUCUUCCGCAAUGGGCGAAAGCCUGACGGAGCAACGCCGCGUGAGUGAAGAAGGUCUUCGGAUCGUAAAACUCUGUUAUUAGGGAAGAACAAAUGUGUAAGUAACUAUGCACGUCUUGACGGUACCUAAUCAGAAAGCCACGGCUAACUACGUG
Molecule: ribosomal RNA, 497 nt
Filed under: uncultured bacterium
Lineage: Bacteria
Description: partial 16S ribosomal RNA
Rfam family: Bacterial small subunit ribosomal RNA
Source: RNAcentral